RNAcentral lists this long non-coding RNA (231 nucleotides) under Phoenix dactylifera (date palm). RNAcentral describes it as "long non-coding RNA (PDAC_LNC018816)". Lineage: Eukaryota; Viridiplantae; Streptophyta; Magnoliopsida; Arecales; Arecaceae. The record is from RNAcentral.
GAUCCAGUCAUCCGAAUCCCAAGCGCCAGCAGUCCAAGCUUCAUCUUCAACUCUCAUGCGCUCCCGGAUCUUUCUCCCCACCAGCGCAUCUUCCGGAUCCACGCGUUCAUCCAGCCGUUCGAGAGCAUCCGCAGCCGUCCAUGUGCGUCCAAGCACCAUCGAUCAACGUCCGCUCCUUCCGCGUCGGCUCCGCGUUCUCAGCUCGUCUCCACCGCGUGCGAGAAAGGGGGG